Cyanistes caeruleus (blue tit) is the source of this 421-nucleotide long non-coding RNA. RefSeq lists it as uncharacterized. NCBI's taxonomy places the organism in Eukaryota, Metazoa, Chordata, Aves, Passeriformes, Paridae. The record is from RefSeq and is a predicted model, not a curated record.
AGCUUCCACUUCAUCCCUUUCCUGGGUUUGGAGGAGGGUUGGAAGAACAAAAGGUGCAUCUUUUUUCUCAGCUGCCAGAGUUUCAGAGGUCCUGGGCAGUGUUAAUGAGGCACAACUGGGUCUUGUUUAAACACUAAAGGGUGAAGCCAUGAGAGAUAAUUGAAUGUAGAUGCACAACCCCAACAGAGCACCUGUGCUGCCUCCCUGGCAUGAGUCUUUCCUUAAGUGACACUGACUGAAAGGGCUCACUGAAAAACAAAAUCAACUGUUUUGCAGAGCGUCUAAAAUCAGGAAAUUGUCAAGGAAACCAAAUGAGAUAAACACUGAACUGUUUGGAAAUAACAUUUUGUUAUUGUUUGUUAAAUAGCUGCUUGAAAAAAGCAUGUAGCUCAUUACUGUGUUGCCUACAACCUAAGGAUGU